Molecule: long non-coding RNA, 360 nt
Filed under: Gossypium barbadense (sea-island cotton)
Lineage: Eukaryota; Viridiplantae; Streptophyta; Magnoliopsida; Malvales; Malvaceae
Description: long non-coding RNA (GBAR_LNC010845)
Source: RNAcentral
AGCUUCUGUUUAUUUGGAGAAUGGGAAAUGAAAGUCUAGUUUAUGUAAAGGGUGGAGAUUCCUUGCUUCUUUCCAUUAACAAGUUCUUGGUUGCUUUUGUGUUACUCUUCCUCCAUGGUUUGCUUCAUGAAAUGGUUUAAAUCUCUAAACUUUAACCAUCCUAUACUGGGAAAAUGAAAGGAAUAAAUAUGCUAGCUCACUUCUUUUGCGAGAUUUUUGCAGAUAUUCUAACCCGAGAAGUACUAGUAUCCGAGAAAUGUUUUCUUGAUUUCCUUAUUCUUGGCUUUCGUGGUUUCCUGUUUGAAGACCGAAUUUUGUCUAAACGCUGACGACGGAUCUCAGGAUUAGCCCAGCCCUUUC